AGUGGCGGACGGGUGAGUAACGCGUGGAUAACCUGCCUCAUACAGGGGGAUAACAGUUGGAAACGGCUGUUAAUACCGCAUAAGCGCACGAAACCGCAUGGUUUUGUGUGAAAAACUCCGGUGGUAUGAGAUGGGUCCGCGUCUGAUUAGCUAGUUGGCAGGGUAACGGCCUACCAAGGCGACGAUCAGUAGCCGACCUGAGAGGGUGUACGGCCACAUUGGGACUGAGACACGGCCCAAACUCCUACGGAAGGCAGCAG
RNAcentral lists this ribosomal RNA (260 nucleotides) under uncultured bacterium. RNAcentral describes it as "partial 16S ribosomal RNA". It matches the Rfam family "Bacterial small subunit ribosomal RNA", at positions 94 to 354 of the family's 1533-position model. The record is from RNAcentral.